This 251-nucleotide ribosomal RNA is filed under the name uncultured bacterium. RNAcentral describes it as "partial 16S ribosomal RNA". It matches the Rfam family "Bacterial small subunit ribosomal RNA", at positions 15 to 275 of the family's 1533-position model. The record is from RNAcentral.
GAUCAUGGCUCAGGAUGAACGCUGGCGGCGUGCCUAACACAUGCAAGUUGAGCGAUUUACUUCGGUAAAGAGCGGCGGACGGGUGAGUAACGCGUGGGUAACCUACCCUGUACACACGGAUAACAUACCGAAAGGUAUGCUAAUACGGGAUAAUAUAUUUGAGAGGCAUCUCUUAAAUAUCAAAGGUGAGCCAGUACAGGAUGGACCCGCGUCUGAUUAGCUAGUUGGUAAGGUAACGGCUUACCAAGGCG